UCUUCUGGGUGUCCCACUUUCUAGUUUUCCCUUUCUUUUGUAACAUUCACUUUUCAAAUCCUUUCAGAAGGAAGGCGACCUCCCCAACUUGGCAUCCGCUCAGCCAGAGCUCUCCAGAGCCAGCGGAUCCACAGCAGACAGAGAUCUCCGUCAUGAGUUUGCACAAAACCCAGGCUACCAGCACAACCUAGAGUUCCAGCAGUAUAACUCCCCUGCUCCUGAGAGGACAGGCCAGUACCAGCCAGGUCUACAGGAGAACGUGUCCUUCCCGCCUGGUGCAUAUUCCAGGGUGGAGGGGUCAGAGCAGGCCAUAGCUUCUGUGCCACCUGAUGCCAUGCAAGAGAAUCGUCCCACAGAGGUCAGCUUUGGGGCAAACCUCUCUCUAGAGGGAAUUUCAAAUGACCAUUCCCCACAGGUCUACCAGCCACCAGGGAGCGCUGUGAGGUUUCAAGGACGCUCCCGGCCCUUUGGGGUUCAGAAGAACAUUCUGGAACAGCAGAGCGUGUUGAAUGCCAGGACCCGAACCGUCUCAGAGAGCUCCACCAUCUCCAUGGAGGAGGACGCCUUGCGACCCCCAGAAGGCACAGGCGAGGGAGUUGCUGUAGAGCGGCCGUCAACGGAGGGGGCAGAGCGAGAAGAGGCAAAGGUGAGGGGGGAACUGUGCUGCUUUCAAAGCCAUGCCCCCAGCCUGAUUCC
RNAcentral lists this long non-coding RNA (696 nucleotides) under Chrysemys picta bellii (western painted turtle). RNAcentral's name for it is "lncRNA (ENSCPBG00000014540.1)". Lineage: Eukaryota; Metazoa; Chordata; Testudines; Emydidae. The record is from RNAcentral.